Molecule: long non-coding RNA, 245 nt
Filed under: Lathyrus oleraceus (garden pea)
Lineage: Eukaryota; Viridiplantae; Streptophyta; Magnoliopsida; Fabales; Fabaceae
Description: Pisum sativum (pea) long non-coding RNA (PSAT_LNC030773)
Source: RNAcentral
UGCUUACUUGAUUCAUCCGUGCAUAUUUGCUUGAGUGUGCCUUUGUGCAUUUAUCAUCAUUACUUGUAUAUCAUUUCAUAAUCAUAGCUCAUUGCUUUGUGACAUUUUUGUUUGUCCAUUGAGGAGUCAAUUGUAAGUCCAUUUAUUGGCAGUUGUUUCCUAUGAUCUGGUAGGGAUUUGGAACUAAGACCAUUCAAUUGGCAUUCCUUUCCUUGGAGUCGAGUGUAAGACCAUUUAUUGGCAAC